RNAcentral lists this transfer RNA (72 nucleotides) under Ovis aries (sheep). It matches the Rfam family "tRNA". Rfam says of the family: Transfer RNA (tRNA) molecules are approximately 80 nucleotides in length. Their secondary structure includes four short double-helical elements and three loops (D, anti-codon, and T loops). Further hydrogen bonds mediate the characteristic L-shaped molecular structure. tRNAs have two regions of fundamental functional importance: the anti-codon, which is responsible for specific mRNA codon recognition, and the 3' end, to which the tRNAs corresponding amino acid is attached (by aminoacyl-tRNA synthetases). tRNAs cope with the degeneracy of the genetic code in two manners: having more than one tRNA (with a specific anti-codon) for a particular amino acid; and 'wobble' base-pairing, i.e. permitting non-standard base-pairing at the 3rd anti-codon position. The record is from Rfam by way of RNAcentral. Lineage: Eukaryota; Metazoa; Chordata; Mammalia; Artiodactyla; Bovidae.
UCCCUGGUGGUUCAGAGGUUAAAGUGUCUGCCUCCAAUGCAGGAGACCCGGGUUCGAUACCUGGGUCGGGAA